GGGAGCUUGGAUGUGGAAGCUCUUUGGAAACCAAGAAACACUCUGCAAAUGAAAAGGGUGGAAGAGUAAACUGUUCCCGUUUCUCCAAAUUGACAGGAAGCAGAAGUUCUCCUUAGCUGAUUUUUCUUCUUGCCUUAUACUGGGUUCUUUAACACCAGAACAAAAAUAAAUAAAUAAAAGAAUCUUCCAGAAAUUCAUGAAGAGACUUCAGGUCAGGAAAGCCUGAACUUUCUCAUCUAACACCUGUUCAAGUCGGAGGAUGCUGAUUAAUUCAUGAUGGAAAGGUAUCAAUUUCACAGCCCAGACUUCUACAUUCUUGAAAUGCUGUUCUCAUGGGAGACAUUAAAUAAGCUUUGAAAUAACUAAAAAUAUCCAACCCGGGCAGGAUAAUACUGAUCAUCCUGAGGAUAUUGCCCUUGGAGUUAAUUUUUUGAGAGAAAUAAAACAAGAAACAUCAUAAGACACAAACCCCAAGCAACUGAUCUCACUGUCAAAAUCCAACCUGAGAACAAUGGAAUGGACCAUACAGUCUUUGUCACAACUCUGCCAUUGUAGUGUGAAAGCAUCCAUAGAUGGUACACAAAUGCAUGGAUGUAGUUGUAUUCCAGUACAACUGCAAAAAGCAGACAGCUGGCUGGAUUUAGCCUAUGGGCCAUAGUUUACACAACUCAAUCUAGGUGAUUGCCUGGUAACUUUGUGAUUGUAAAGAGGAAA
Molecule: non-coding RNA, 714 nt
Filed under: Pongo abelii (Sumatran orangutan)
Lineage: Eukaryota; Metazoa; Chordata; Mammalia; Primates; Hominidae
Source: RNAcentral